GAGAGAGAGAGAGAGAUUUUCCACCCGACACUGAACACAGGGAAACUUUAGAGAUGGGUUUUUGACCAGAACAGCUUCUCAUUUAAAGAAAAAACUUGAAAAAAAUAAAAGAAAGAAAACCAGUAAGAGUACUGUUAUUAAUGAUUGUUGUGAAGCGUUGGUUUUGGUUUUCAAUUUAGCAAUUUCUUUUGUUUAAAAGGGAUUUUGGCUUGUUCUGCAAGUUAAAGAGAAA
RNAcentral lists this unclassified non-coding RNA (232 nucleotides) under Hevea brasiliensis (rubber tree). Lineage: Eukaryota; Viridiplantae; Streptophyta; Magnoliopsida; Malpighiales; Euphorbiaceae. The record is from RNAcentral.